UGGGUCACCAAAAGCUGACCUCACCCCAGCAGAGGCCAGCUUUGGAGCUAAAUAAAGGCAGGCCUGUUGGAGGGAAUCCCUGGGGGAAAAGAGACAAGCAUAGGUCCCUCACAAGAUGCCACCCGCUUCAUACAAGUGUCUGGCAGCACUGUGUUACUGUUAAAGCCACCAGCACGAGCACCUGACGAUGCUGAUCCAGUGAGUACUCCAUCAAAGGCAUACUGUAGGCCUGGCAUGUCUUGUCUACUAGCUUCAAUAUGAAUCCGAUUAAAUGUGAUGGGGUCAAGGCCCCAUUUCAUCAGCACAUAACGGCGAUGAUGAUGAGGAGACCAUCUCGCUGGAUUCCAAAAGGCAUAAGGACCCAGAGUCAUUGGUGCACUGGACUGCACAAACAUAAGGAUAAAAGCCCCCUCAGGUGCCCAUGAGGCAGAUUUUGUAAAUAUGAAAUCUUUUUACAGCAUUAAUGUUCAGGUGAACAUAACUUUUUGAUCUUUUCCAUUGAACACUGGCAAAAUGGCCUGGCUCAGUCCAUGACUCCAGAAUCUUUUGGACCUCUGAAAUCUAUCAGCGCCUAUCACAAGACAGGGGGUAAGGCUGCCAGCCGUUUUUCCUGACACCUUUCACAGACCCCCAGGAAGCACAGCAGGCCUACAACUAUGCCCAUGCUAGGGCCAGAGUUGAAAUGACCUUUGGCCUCCUGAAGGCACGCUCUCACUGCCUUCACAAAUUAAGGGUCAGCCCUGUGAGGGCAUGUGACUUUACUGUGGCUGGUGGUGUCCUCCACAAUGUGGCCUGCCUGAGGAAGGAGAGGGCACCCAGAGGGCACCCAGAGUGCCGCCAGCCAUGGACUGGGACAAUCCGGAAAUCUUCUCUGAUGACAACAGUGG
Molecule: non-coding RNA, 887 nt
Organism: Paramisgurnus dabryanus
Lineage: Eukaryota; Metazoa; Chordata; Actinopteri; Cypriniformes; Cobitidae
Source: RefSeq, a predicted model, not a curated record